AGUGAACGCUGGCGGUAGGCCUAACACAUGCAAGUCGAACGGCAGCACAGUAAGAGCUUGCUCUUACGGGUGGCGAGUGGCGGACGGGUGAGGAAUACAUCGGAAUCUACUUUUUCGUGGGGGAUAACGUAGGGAAACUUACGCUAAUACCGCAUACGACCUACGGGUGAAAGCAGGGGAUCUUCGGACCUUGCGCGAUUGAAUGAGCCGAUGUCGGAUUAGCUAGUUGGCGGGGUAAAGGCCCACCAAGGCGACGAUCCGUAGCUGGUCUGAGAGGAUGAUCAGCCACACUGGAACUGAGACACGGUCCAGACUCCUACGGGAGGCAGCAGUGGGGAAUAUUGGACAAUGGGCGCAAGCCUGAUCCAGCCAUACCGCGUGGGUGAAGAAGGCCUUCGGGUGGUAAAGCCCUUUUGUUGGGAAAGAAAAGCAGCAGGUUAAUACCCCGCUGUUCUGACGGUACCCAAAGAAUAAGCACCGGCAAACUUCGU
RNAcentral lists this ribosomal RNA (491 nucleotides) under uncultured bacterium. Its description in RNAcentral is "partial 16S ribosomal RNA". It matches the Rfam family "Bacterial small subunit ribosomal RNA", at positions 29 to 506 of the family's 1533-position model. The record is from RNAcentral.